UCUUUUGAGCUAAGCAGCUCGACCAUGGUCUUCAACGGAGAUCAAGACAAGGAGUUCCAUUCUGGGAUUUGAUCGUGUGGAAAAUGCCAUUCAGCAAGCUCUUGCUAGUCAGAAUGGGCCAGAACAUGGACUCGCGCUCGACAACUUCGACUUCGAGCGCAAGAACAUCGACGAGAUCUGCAGCAAACAUCCGAAUGGCCCGGAAAUCGACACAGAUUUUGUGAGCCGAGGAAGUGACCACGACGUAUCCGCCGACUUCGAGGAUUCGGAUAGGGAGCCGCAGUUGGAAUCCGAUGUCGGAAGUUUCGACAAAGAAAUGAUGUAAAUAAUAUAAAUGUACAUUAUUAACGUGUAAAACACUCCCCCUUCCCGUUCGUCUUAAGCUUAUAA
Molecule: non-coding RNA, 390 nt
Organism: Caenorhabditis elegans
Lineage: Eukaryota; Metazoa; Nematoda; Chromadorea; Rhabditida; Rhabditidae
Source: Ensembl